GGUAAGAUGGCCGAGAGUAAGGCGGUGGGUUGUAGCCCCAAAUACGAAGGUUCAAGUCCUUUUCUUAUCA
This 70-nucleotide transfer RNA is filed under the name Nyctimystes kubori (sandy big-eyed treefrog). RNAcentral's name for it is "tRNA-Tyr". It matches the Rfam family "tRNA". Rfam says of the family: Transfer RNA (tRNA) molecules are approximately 80 nucleotides in length. Their secondary structure includes four short double-helical elements and three loops (D, anti-codon, and T loops). The record is from RNAcentral. Lineage: Eukaryota; Metazoa; Chordata; Amphibia; Anura; Pelodryadidae.